CAUGCGCUCCUCACGCUCCACGAACGGAACCUGCGCACGGAGGCGGUAGCGCGGGGUGGCAGCCGGCAAUGAGGCGGCCGCGCUACGUGACGAGCUACGGGUCCCCCUUUGUGAUGUUUUGGCAUCGCUCCUUCAUCGCACAUCCUCAGGCGAUGGCGGUGGUGUCGCUGAUGGCGGCGAGGACAGCAUGUGGCAGCUCCCGAAGCAUGAACACGACCGCACCUCGGGCCUGCCGUCUGCCAAGAUAUGGCUCUGGCCGAUUGACAAUGGAGGUUUGGGAUCCUUCCUCUCAGCACCCACUCCUGGAAGAAUCAGCGGUGCGCCACGCCGAUUGAACCCCGUCGAGAUCACUCGCCAAGAUUGUUAUUCUGAAGUUUAUUGUAAAGAAAGUGAAGAGUGAGACAGGAUCCGUUUAUUUUCAACCGGUUUAUUUCCAUCAAAUUACCCCCACCCCCACGCCCACCCACCGAAACGCGCCCAGCGAACCGGGGAGAGAUCCAUUGAUUUGGCUAAGGUAGGAAAGAAUCUAUUAUUUGUUUGCUAAAGCAAAUUGCAUUAAUGGGAGAGAUCCGUUGAUUUGGCUAAGGUAGGAAAGAAUC
Long non-coding RNA from Triticum dicoccoides, 599 nucleotides. RefSeq lists it as uncharacterized. Lineage: Eukaryota; Viridiplantae; Streptophyta; Magnoliopsida; Poales; Poaceae. The transcript is spliced from 3 exons. The record is from RefSeq and is a predicted model, not a curated record.